GCCGCCGCCCCGGCGCCCAGGCUCGGUGCCGGAGAGUCAUGCCCGUGAGCCCUGGGCACCUCCUGAUGUCCUGCGAGGCCACGGUGUUCCCAAACCUCAGGAUUGCCCUGCCCCACUCCAGAGGCUCUCAGGCCCCACCCCGGAGCCCUCUGUGUGGAGCCGCCUCCUCCUGGCCAGUUCACCUGUAGUCCUGAAGGGAGACCUGCUGUGUGGAACCUCUUCUGGGACCCAGCCAUGAGUGUGGAGCUGAGCAGCUGAACCUGAAACUCUUCCACUGUGAGUGAAGGAGGCUUUUCCGCACAUGAAGGAUGCUGAGCAGGAAGGACUCCUCUCUGCCUGCAGUUGUAGCGAGUGGACCAGCACCAGGGGCUCUCUAGACUGCCCCUCCUCCGUCGCCUUCCCUGCCUCUCCAGGACAGAGCAGCCACGUCUGCACACCUCGCCCUCUUUACACUCAGUUUUCAGAGCACAUUUCUCCUAUUUCCUGCGUGUUGCAGCGCCUACCUGAACUUACUCAGACCACCUACUUCUCUAGCAGCACUGGGCGUCCCUUCCAGCAAGACGAUGGCUGUGCUCAGGCAGCUGGCGCUCCUCCUCUGGAAGAACUACACCCUGCAGAAGCGGAAAGUCCUGGUGACGGUCCUGGAACUCUUCCUGCCAUUGCUGUUUUCUGGGAUCCUGAUCUGGCUUCGCUUGAAGAUUCAGUCGGAAAAUGUGCCCAACGCCACCAUCUACCCGGGCCAGUCCAUCCAGGAGCUGCCUCUGUUCUUCACCUUCCCUCCGCCAGGAGACACCUGGGAGCUCGCCUAUAUCCCUUCUCACAGUGACGCUGCCAAGACCGUCACCGAGACAGUGCGCAGGGCACUUGUGAUCAACAUGCGGGUGCGCGGCUUUCGCUCCGAGAAGGACUUUGAGGACUACAUUAGGUACGACAACCGGUCGUCCAGCGUGCUGGCCGCCGUGGUCUUCGAGCACCCCUUCAACCACAGCAAGGAGCCCCUGCCGCUGGCGGUGAAAUAUCACCUACGGUUCAGUUACACACGAAGAAAUUACAUGUGGACCCAAACAGGCUCCUUUUUCCUGAAAGAGACAGAAGGCUGGCACACUACUUCCCUUUUCCCGCUUUUCCCAAACCCAGGACCAAGGGAACCUACAUCCCCUGAUGGCGGAGAACCUGGGUACAUCCGGGAAGGCUUCCUGGCCGUGCAGCAUGCCGUGGACCGGGCCAUCAUGCAGUACCAUGCCAAUGCCGCCACACGCCAGCUGUUCCAGAGACUCACGGUGACCAUCAAGAGGUUCCCGUACCCGCCGUUCAUCGCAGACCCCUUCCUCGUGGCCAUCCAGUACCAGCUGCCCCUGCUGCUGCUGCUCAGCUUCACCUACACCGCGCUCACCAUUGCCCGUGCUGUCGUGCAGGAGAAGGAAAGGAGGCUGAAGGAGUACAUGCGCAUGAUGGGGCUCAGCAGCUGGCUGCACUGGAGUGCCUGGUUCCUCUUGUUCUUCCUCUUCCUCCUCAUCACCACCUCCUUCAUGACUCUGCUCUUCUGUGUCAAGGUGAAGCCGGAUGUAGCCGUGCUGUCCCGCAGCGACCCCUCUCUGGUGCUGGCCUUCCUGCUGUGCUUCGCCAUCUCUACCAUCUCCUUCAGCUUCAUGGUCAGCACCUUCUUCAGCAAAGCCAACAUGGCAGCAGCCUUCGGCGGCUUCCUCUACUUCUUCACCUACAUCCCCUACUUCUUCGUGGCCCCUCGGUACAACUGGAUGACUCUGAGCCAGAAGCUCUGCUCCUGCCUCCUGUCCAACGUCGCCAUGGCAAUGGGAGCCCAGCUCAUUGGGAAAUUUGAGGCGAAAGGCAUGGGCAUCCAGUGGCGAGACCUGCUGAGUCCCGUCAACGUGGACGACGACUUCUGCUUCGGGCAGGUGCUGGGGAUGCUGCUGCUGGACUCUGUGCUCUAUGGCCUGGUGACCUGGUACAUGGAGGCCGUCUUCCCAGGGCAGUUCGGCGUGCCUCAGCCCUGGUACUUCUUCAUCAUGCCCUCCUAUUGGUGUGGGAAGCCAAGGGCGGUUGCAAGGAAGGAGGAAGAGGACAGUGACCCCGAGAAAGCGCUCAGAAAUGAGUAUUUUGAAGCCGAGCCAGAGGACCUGGUGGCGGGGAUCAAGAUCAAGCACCUGUCCAAGGUGUUCAGGGUGGGGAAUAAGGACAGGGCAGCCGUCAGAGACCUGAACCUGAACCUGUACGAGGGGCAGAUCACCGUCCUGCUGGGCCACAAUGGCGCUGGGAAGACCACCACCCUUUCCAUGCUCACAGGUCUCUUUCCCCCCACCAGUGGACGGGCAUACAUCAGCGGGUAUGAAAUUUCCCAGGACAUGGUUCAGCUCCGGAAGAGCUGGGCCUGUGCCCACAGCACGACAUCCUGUUUGACAACUUGACAGUCGCAGAGCACCUUUAUUUCUAUGCCCAGCUGAAGGGCCUGUCACGCCAGAAGUGCCCUGAAGAAGUCAAGCAGAUGCUGCAUGUCAUCGGCCUGGAGGACAAGUGGAACUCACGGAGCCGCUUCCUGAGCGGGGGCAUGAGGCGCAAGCUCUCCAUCGGCAUCGCCCUCAUCGCAGGCUCCAAGGUGCUGAUACUGGACGAGCCCACCUCGGGCAUGGACACCAUCUCCAGGAGGGCCAUCUGGGAUCUUCUUCAGCGACAGAAAAGUGACCACACCAUCGUGCUGACCACCCACUUCAUGGAUGAGGCUGACCUGCUGGGAGACCGCAUCGCCAUCAUGGCCAAGGGGGAGCUGCAGUGCUGCGGGUCCUCGCUGUUCCUCAAGCAGAAAUACGGUGCCGGCUAUCACAUGACGCUGGUGAAGGAACCGCACUGCAACCCCGAAGACAUCUCCCAGCUGGUCCACCACCACGUGCCCAACGCCACACUGGAGAGCAGCGCUGGGGCCGAGCUGUCUUUCAUCCUUCCCAGAGAGAGCACACACAGGUUUGAAGGUCUCUUUGCUAAACUGGAGAAGAAGCAGAAGGAGCUGGGCAUUGCCAGCUUUGGGGCAUCCAUCACCACCAUGGAGGAAGUCUUCCUUCGGGUCGGGAAGCUGGUGGACAGCAGCAUGGACAUCCAGGCCAUCCAGCUCCCUGCCCUGCAGUACCAGCACGAGAGGCGCGCUAGCGACUGGGCUGUGGACAGCAACCUCUGUGGGGCCAUGGACCCCUCUGACGGCAUUGGAGCCCUCAUCGAGGAGGAGCGUACCGCUGUCAAGCUCAACACUGGGGUGAGUGCCCAGGUGGGUGGGCGGGUGGCGGGGGAAGGGCGAGCAGCCCCCAAACACCUCAUGUGAGCCAAUGCAGAGGAGAGUCUGCGAGGGCGCAAACAGGGUCCAGGAGAGUCAGCACACCGGGCAGAGGGCGGGCAGCGGCUCACACCGCAUGGGUCGGCAGGGAGAAGCGUUUGAAUGGAGCAACUGGAAUUUCUCACACUCUAACUCAGGCACAGCACCCUGCUCAACAGGAGCUUGUCGGGUGCCCAGCUCUGUGUUGAUGUCUCCAGCAGCCAACGACAGGGAGGGGGGUUGCUGCACCCAGUUCACAGAUGGGAAACCGAGGCCUGGGCCAAAGUCAGAUAUGACAGAGUGACAGAGCUCAGUCUGAUCCCUG
Molecule: small RNA, 3644 nt
Filed under: Pongo abelii (Sumatran orangutan)
Lineage: Eukaryota; Metazoa; Chordata; Mammalia; Primates; Hominidae
Description: retained intron
Source: RNAcentral